GAUGAACGCUGGCGGCGUGCUUAACACAUGCAAGUCGAACGGAAAGGCUCCUGCUUGCAGGGGUACUCGAGUGGCGAACGGGUGAGUAACACGUGGGUGAUCUGCCCUGCACUUCGGGAUAAGCCUGGGAAACUGGGUCUAAUACCGGAUAGGACGAUGGUUUGGAUGCCAUUGUGGAAAGUUUUUUCGGUGUGGGAUGAGCUCGCGGCCUAUCAGCUUGUUGGUGGGGUAAUGGCCUACCAAGGCGUCGACGGGUAGCCGGCCUGAGAGGGUGUACGGCCACAUUGGGACUGAGAUACGGCCCAGACUCCUACGGGAGGCAGCAGUGGGGAAUAUUGCACAAUGGGCGGAAGCCUGAUGCAGCGACGCCGCGUGGGGGAUGACGGCCUUCGGGUUGUAAACUGCUUUCGCUAGGGACGAAGCGCAAGUGACGGUACCUGGAGAAGAAGCACCGGCUAACUACGUG
RNAcentral lists this ribosomal RNA (466 nucleotides) under uncultured bacterium. RNAcentral's name for it is "partial 16S ribosomal RNA". It matches the Rfam family "Bacterial small subunit ribosomal RNA", at positions 28 to 507 of the family's 1533-position model. The record is from RNAcentral.